Molecule: long non-coding RNA, 370 nt
Organism: Oncorhynchus keta (chum salmon)
Lineage: Eukaryota; Metazoa; Chordata; Actinopteri; Salmoniformes; Salmonidae
Exons: 2
Source: RefSeq, a predicted model, not a curated record
CAGGGAGAGAGAGACAGAAAGGACUCUAGCAGGUCCAGCCAAUAGCGUUAUUAGUAGAUUUCAUCAAGCGUUGGAUUGUUCACCCACUAACAGGGAACGUGAACUGGGUUUAGACUGUCGUGAGACAGGGACAGAUAAAGGACAAGCAGGUCCAGCUAGCAGCGUUAUUAGUAACUAACAGGGAACGUGAGCUGGGUUUAGACUGUCGUGAGACAGGGAUAGAGGGGGGACAGAUAAAUGACUAGCAGGUCCAGCUAGCAGCGUUAUUAGUAACUAACAGGGAACGUGAGCUGGGUUUAGACUGUCGUGAGACAGGGAUAGAGGGGGGACAGAUAAAGGACUAGCAGGUCCAGCUAGCAGCGUAACAGCA